RNAcentral lists this ribosomal RNA (167 nucleotides) under uncultured rumen bacterium. RNAcentral describes it as "partial 16S ribosomal RNA". It matches the Rfam family "Bacterial small subunit ribosomal RNA", at positions 340 to 524 of the family's 1533-position model. The record is from RNAcentral.
UACGGGAGGCAGCAGUGGGGAAUAUUGCACAAUGGGGGAAACCCUGAUGCAGCAACGCCGCGUGAGUGAAGAAGUAUUUCGGUAUGUAAAGCUCUAUCAGCAGGGAAGAAAAUGACGGUACCUGACUAAGAAGCCCCGGCUAACUACGUGCCAGCAGCCGCGGUAAU